GGCCAUCUGGUGUCCCAUAUUUUGUUCGAACCUCUAGUCACCUCCAGCUCAAACCCCUCAGAGACCACUGUCUGGGUUACACACCUCCAUCUAUCUGUCUGUCAUUCUCUCUCUCUCUUUCUCUUUCUCUCUCCCUGUCAGUCUAAUCACUGAUGUUACCUGUCCAGGUCCUGACACUGUCUGGUCUGGUUCUAAAUUUGUUUUUCUAGGUGGCGCUCAGCUCCAUUCUCUCCUCUUCCGUUUGCUGUAUGAGAAAAUAAACCCAGCUAGAUUUAAAACAGCUUUCAUUUCAACUAUUAGCGCUAACUAAAACAACUACAGAGGCCGUGUUCCUGAUUCAUCGACCAACCAGUGGCCGUGUUCCUGAUUCAUCGACCAACCAGAGGCCGUGUUCCUGAUUCAUCGACCAACCAGAGGCCGUGUUCCUGAUUCAUCGACCAACCAGAGGCCGUGUUCCUGAUUCAUCGACCAAC
Long non-coding RNA from Pygocentrus nattereri (red-bellied piranha), 473 nucleotides. RefSeq lists it as uncharacterized. The transcript has 2 exons. NCBI's taxonomy places the organism in Eukaryota, Metazoa, Chordata, Actinopteri, Characiformes, Serrasalmidae. The record is from RefSeq and is a predicted model, not a curated record.